UACGUAGGGGGCGAGCGUUGUCCGGAUUUAUUGGGCGUAAAGGGCUCGUAGGCGGUUUGUCGCGUCGGGAGUGAAAACCAGAGGCUUAACUUCUGGCUUGCUUUCGAUACGGGCAGACUUGAGGCAUGCAGGGGAGAACGGAAUUCCUGGUGUAGCGGUGAAAUGCGCAGAUAUCAGGAGGAACACCGGUGGCGAAGGCGGUUCUCUGGGCCGAUACUGACGCUGAGGAGCGAAAGCGUGGGGAGCGAACAGG
Molecule: ribosomal RNA, 253 nt
Filed under: uncultured bacterium
Lineage: Bacteria
Description: partial 16S ribosomal RNA
Rfam family: Bacterial small subunit ribosomal RNA
Source: RNAcentral